GAUGAACGCUGGCGGCGUGCCUAAUACAUGCAAGUCGAGCGAACAGACGAGGAGCUUGCUCCUCUGACGUUAGCGGCGGACGGGUGAGUAACACGUGGAUAACCUACCUAUAAGACUGGGAUAACUUCGGGAAACCGGAGCUAAUACCGGAUAACAUGUUGAACCGCAUGGUUCAACAGUGAAAGACGGUCUUGCUGUCACUUAUAGAUGGAUCCGCGCCGCAUUAGCUAGUUGGUAAGGUAACGGCUUACCAAGGCAACGAUGCGUAGCCGACCUGAGAGGGUGGUCGGCCACAAUGGAACUGAGACACGGUCCAGACUCCUACGGGAGGCAGCAGUAGGGAAUCUUACGCAAUGGGCGAAAGCCUGAAGGAGCAACGCCGCGUGAGUGAAGAAGUUCUUCGGAUCGUAAAACUCUGUUAUUAGGGAAGAACAAAUGUGUAAGUAACUAUGCACGUCUUGACGGUACCUAAUCAGAAAGCCACGGCUAACUACGUG
Molecule: ribosomal RNA, 497 nt
Filed under: uncultured bacterium
Lineage: Bacteria
Description: partial 16S ribosomal RNA
Rfam family: Bacterial small subunit ribosomal RNA
Source: RNAcentral